CUACGGGGGGCUCCAGUGAGGAAUAUUGCACAAUGGAGGAAACUCUGAUGCAGCAACGCCGCGUGGAGGAUGACGCAUUUCGGUGUGUAAACUCCUUUUAUAUGUCAAGAAAAUGACGGUAGCAUAUGAAUAAGCACCGGCUAACUCCGUGCCAGCAGCCGCGGUAAUACGGAGGGUGCAAGCGUUACUCGGAAUCACUGGGCGUAAAGGACGCGUAGGCGGGAUAUCAAGUCAGGUGUGAAAUCCUACAGCUUAACUGUAGAACUGCACUUGAAACUGGUAACCUAGAGUAUGGGAGGGGGAGAUGGAAUUAGUGGUGUAGGGGUAAAAUCCGUAGAUAUCACUAGGAAUACCUAAAGCGAAGGCGAUCUCCUGGAACAUAACUGACGCUAAGGCGUGAAAGCGUGGGGAGCAAACAGGAUUAGAUACCCCGGUAGUC
RNAcentral lists this ribosomal RNA (439 nucleotides) under uncultured bacterium. RNAcentral describes it as "partial 16S ribosomal RNA". It matches the Rfam family "Bacterial small subunit ribosomal RNA", at positions 339 to 795 of the family's 1533-position model. The record is from RNAcentral.